Long non-coding RNA from Mya arenaria, 5109 nucleotides. RefSeq lists it as uncharacterized. Lineage: Eukaryota; Metazoa; Mollusca; Bivalvia; Myida; Myidae. The transcript is spliced from 5 exons. The record is from RefSeq and is a predicted model, not a curated record.
CUUUAAUGGUCAUAAUCUUAAAACUGCCUUAACGGCAACAAACCAGCUGUCGUUUCGGUCCAUGCAUAUUUCAUUUAAUUGUCCAUAUAAUUCUGACAACAUGGCGCUCAGGGGGGGCAUAAUGUUUGACAAACAUCUCUUGUUUCCAAGGUUUUUCUUACCAGUGUGUUUGCAUUUAUUUCUUAAUUACUUUCUUCUUAAUCCCUUUUAUUGCAGAACUGUAUGAAUAAUCAAUCCCUUUUAAACUGUCCAUUCGAACCAACACAGCAAAUGAAAUUGAAGUUGCAGUGAUGGUAUUGAUUGUAUCAGAUAGAUAUGUGCACAGCAUGUGUUUAAAUGCAGUCAUGGUUUUGCCAAUUGGCAGAAGGAAUAUAGUGUACAAUACAAAUCAACACAAACAACAAAACAAAAAGCUCAUGACAAUUUCCAUUAGAUAAGCAGUUGUUGAUAUAUAUUUUAGCUGGUAGAACGCUUCCUUAAUGGACAGAGUUUGCAGUUCAGUAUGAAGAAAGACGAACUGGUAGGUGUGCGAAAAACCAUUGCUGCCCAUCUGCUCCAUAAUGCAGUGAUGAUAGAACCAACUGUUGAAGAUGGCAUACCAGCUGUUGAGGAAGCUGCUCAGUCCCAAAGCCAACCUAUAGAAGAAGCUGCCAUAUCAGCUGUUGAAGAAGCUGUUGAUUCAAAAAGCCAACCUCCUGUUGACAAAGCCACCAUACCUGCUGAUCAGCUCGCAAGCCAACCUCCUGUAGAGAAAGCUCACAAGAGAAAAAGGAAGGACAAGGGGAAAUCUUUCAUUUUUCUACUCGAAGCAGAAGAAGUCAAGCAGAAUUUAUUGUGUCUGUAGAAAAAGGAACGAUGGCAGGCUAUAUUGGCACUGUGAUUCAUGCAAUGAGUGGUACCAUCCUGUUUGCAUGGGUUUUGAUGAAAAGGAAGAACCACAUGUAGACAUUUGCCCUUCAUGUCAGAUGAAAAUUAAAAGAAAGGCAUGCCCUACACUUGAGGAAGUUGAAGAAAAGCUGCGAAAAGACACUGAAGUAGAAAACUCAGAUCCUAUGGACGAAACUUUGGCAGGAGGUUUGCAGGACCAUUCUGAAACAACCCCAGUCUUUUUGAACCAUCCACAUGUGAGGUUUUUCAUUGAGAUUAAAAAAAGAAAAGGACAAGAAAUUUUAAUUCAGGCAUCUGGUUGGGGUGAAUUUGUAUUGAUGUCAGAGAAUGAUUUUGAGAACUAUGAGUCGUUCAAAAAUAAAACUACAGAGGACCUACUAAUAUUAGAUUGUUCCCUGGAGUACUUUUUAAGUGUUUGUGUCAAGGAAAAGGUAGAAGUAUUGUAUUAUACAGACUUUAUUGUUAGGCUCGUUCCUUCGAAUGUCAUUGACCAAUACAAGAAAUGGCUAGAAGAAGCAAAAUGUAGUCUUCAUCUUGACUAGUUUUUUUUGUGAAACCUUACAGAAGGUUAACCAAGUAAAAUGUUUGUUAUUGAGACUGCAUUGUCAGGAUGCUUGAUAAUUUUGGAAUGUUUAAUGUAUUAUUUUGUCUUUGUGUUAUACAUUUCUUCUAAGUAGACAAUGGUCAAGCUUUAAUUUAUUAUGGAAAUGAAUUAAGGCAGAAGUAUUUACAGUUUACCGGUACUUUCAUCAGUGUUUAUUAAGUAAUUUCUUUUCUAUUGAUCAAAAAAUAUAUUUGUGGCAAAACAAAUUUCAGCUGCUGACAGUCAACUUGGUACUAUGUUAAAAUUCUGGGAUUGACUUGAAUCAGUCGUUACCAUUGUGAGGCUCUGCUUUACAGUUGAGAUACCUGAUAUUGGAGUAACUAGUUUGCAGGAAAUUUAUUCAGCACUGUAGAUUGUGCAUUUUAGUUUGGGAAUUAGGAAUUAGGGGGUUAUAGGGCGUGUCAAGUUGGUUGUUGCUUUAUCCUUGGUAGGGCCCUUGUGCACAGUCUACCUUGGAUUUAUGUUAAAAACAAUAAUAUUGUUUAAACUAUGAUAUCAUAAUGUAGGUGAGAAAUAUUAUCGUAUCUAGUCAACACACUUAAAGGGGACACCAGAUGGUCCAAAAAAAGACAAAUGCACAAUAUCCACAAGACGAGCCUAGAAUUGUCAAUACCAGCUAGUAUAAGACUGAUUAAACAUCAUUUUACGUAAUUAAAAUAAUAUUUUGUCUCAGUCUUAGCUGACUAAACCCUUUAAAAUUAGCGCAUAAUGGUUUCUCACUUUAUAGUGUGUAUAUUUAUCAUGUGAAAGUCAUGUUAUUAGUACAGAUACAUAUACCAAUGCUACUUCUAUAUUUACUGGGAUUCACAUGAUAGACAGCCUCAGUAAAUUAUGAAUUGAAAAAAAGGUGCAAAAAAUGCUAAAUAUAACUGUGUUGUAAGCGAUUUGAUACAGUAAGUAAGAUUCAAUACAUGUACGCAACGAUAUUAACUUUAUGUAAGUUUUUGACAUUUUUUUUUCCUUGCAUUUGUAUCAUCUGGUGCCUAUUCCCUUUAAAGGCCCUUGAUCUCUCAUUACACAUGAAAUGUCUUGAAAUCAAAAUCAAAAGGGAAUGUACAUAGUUUUUGUAACCUGUGUGACUUAUUGUUGGAGUUGAAGAUGACAUGGAAUAAAACAUGACCUUUAGAAAUAUUAUUUCAAAAGAAUUAAAAAUUAAACAUUAGAUAUAAGGAAAAUGGGUAUCCACAUUAUGGUUAGGUAAUUGCAAGUUGCGCUAUCAUUUGAGGUGUUUGAUUUGUAAUAAGUUUAUUUAUUGCAUGCAGAAAAUUAUUACAUUUUUAUGAUCAGUAGAUUCAUUUCAUACGGGUCAUUAAAUAGCGAACGCAAAGCAUGAUUUAAAGACCAGUAAAUGGCAAACCAUCCCAUGUUCUAUCACUUCUUAUUCAAUUGAAAUAGAUAACAUUAAAAUCAAUUAAUUGUUAUUUUUACCUCUUUUUUCAGUGAUUUCAGACCAAUCGAUAUGUAAAAAAAAAGAUUAUUUAAGCCUAUUUUGCCAAUUAACAUGAAAAAUAUGUUUGUGUAUCUACACUCAACGAAACUUCUAUCCUUUGUAUUUUUGGAUAACUUUAGUAAAAUUCAAGGGAAAUAAGAAUUACUCUGCAUGCUUUAAGAUUAUUGCAUUUGACAAUUUUUGAUAGAAAUUCGUUAGUAGUGAUUUUUUUUGUCCCCUUAAACAAAUUUAGAAAAUUGGAAGUAUUGUGCAUUUUUUAUGAUUACUUUUUUAUAACAACAUAAUAUAUACUUAUUAGAAAUUCUUCAUACUUUACAAGUUUAAAGGAUAAAUUACAUGUUCGCCAUUGCAUUUCAUGCUGAUUUAAAAAAAAAUCAUUUAAAAAAUGAUAAACUUAUGUUUGUAUUAAGUAAUAUGAAUAAUAUUACCAUCACCUUUGUUUAAUUAUGUGCAAAUAUAGAAAAAUAAUGUAAACAUGUCUCAAUUUGUUAUUGUUUAACAUCUUUAAUUGUUGGAUUGAUUUCUAUGAACUUAAUUUUUUUUACCAUUCAAUGAUUUGAUAUUCAGUUAUACAUGUGAGAAAAAUUGAUUCUUUUUUCUAUUUCUUUUUUUUAUUCUUUUCUUGGAAUAAAAUAAAAUAAUAGAAAUAAGUAUUCAGUGUAAUGUACAUCGCAUUAAUGAUAAUAGCCACAAACUCAGAAAAUAUAAGCUCAGUUCUAAAGUAUAUGCUUUAUCUUACAAAAUUAUUACAUUAACAUCGUCAUCCUUGUGUAACAACUUUGUGCCUUAUAACAUGUAAUAUAUAUUGCUGUACAUACUGUAUAUAUGGCCGUUUGUUUGUUAAAUAUGUUUAAAUCACUUUUGGGUGGAAAUAAAGAGAAUAAUAAGUUACUGUUAUUUCCUGAAGAUUUCUUAUUAAAUCGAGACUUUUUCUGCAAUUUUUUGAAGCACCUUUUUUCAUGCUAAUAACUUGAAACUAUUGCCCAAAUAAUUAAAAGCCAAAUGUUUGAAAAGUGUUUGAAAGUUAAUAUAAUGUAAGUCCUGGCCCCAAUAUCUCGAAACUUGUUAAGCUUGUUGGGCUUGGUCAGAAUUUUUUUCAUUAUUUUUAGCUCACCUGAGCACGAAUUGCUCAAGGUGAGCUAUUGUGAUCGCCCUGUGUCUGUUGUCCAUCGUCGUCUGUCGUCAACAAUUUGACUGUUAACACUAGAGGUCACAAUUUGGGCACAAUCUGAAUGAAACUCGGUCAAUAUGUUACCAUCAAUGAAAGCUUGGACGAGUUCGAUCAUCUGGGGUCAAAAACUAGGUCACAAGGUCAAAUCAUAGGAAAAGCUUGUUAGCUCUCUAGCGGUCACAUGGAUGACUGUAUAUUCAUGAAACUUAGUCAGAAUGUAUAUAUUGAUGAGCUCUAGGCUAAGUUCGAAUCUUGGUAAUGUGUGGUCAAAAACUAGGUCACCAGGUCAAAUAAUAGGAAAAGCAUGUUAACACUCUAGAGGCCACAUUUAUGACCAUAUGUUCAUGGAACUUGAUCAGAAUGUUAUUCUUGAUAAUCUUUAGGUUGAGUUUCAAACUGGGAAAUCAGAGGUCAAAAACCAGACCACUAGGUCAGAUCAUAGAAAAACUUUGUAAACACUGUAGAGGUUACAUUCUUUGUUUGAUCACCAUGAAACUAUGUCAGAAUUUUUGUGUUUAUGAAGUCUAUGUCAAGUUUGAAACUGAGUAAACUCAGUUCAAAAACUAGGUCACGAAGUCAAAUCAUAGAAACAUUGUUAAAACACUGUUGAGGCCAUAUUUUCUAAUUUAUCUAUAUGAAACCUGGUCAGAAUGUACUUAUUACAGCAAGGUAAGGUUUGCAACUGGGUCAUCCGUGAUAUUAAAAAAAAACUUGGUCACUAGGAAGGAUCUAACCCCCUGUCACAAUUGCCUUGCCCUGAAAAUACUUAUUUCACACUUAAAUUGGAUCAGGUGAGCGAUACAGGGCCUUCAGGGCCCUCUUGUUUAUGAUAAUUGUUUAACCAGCAUAUGUAUUUUGGUAUUUAUACAUGAGUUGUAAUGUAAAAGUGAAAUAAUAUUGACUCUUCUUAAAAAGUGUCUAGUUGUUACCUUCCAUUUUUCAUGUAAAAUUAUUUCAUGUUGUUGCAUUUGUUACGAUUUUUUUCUGGAUUGGCAA